GACGAACGCUGGCGGCGUGCUUAACACAUGCAAGUCGAACGAAGUGGCGGACGGGUGAGUAACGCGUAAUCAACCUGCUCUUCAGAGGGGCUCAACAGUUGGAAACGACUCCUAAUACCGCAAACAGAAGGAGGGGCUUGCGUCUGAUUAGCUGGUUGGGGGGGUAACGGCCAACCAAGGCGAUGAUCAGUAGCGGGGCUGAGAGGGUGAACGGCCAAACUGGGACUGGAGCACGGCCCAGAAUCCUACGGGAGGGAACCGGGGGGAAUCUUCCGCAAAGGACGAAAGGCUGACGGAGCAACGCCGCGGGGGUGAUGACGGCCUUCGGGGUGGGAAACUCUGUUAAUCGGGACGCGGUACCGGAAUAGAAAGCCACGGCUAACUACGUGCCAGCAGCCGCGGUAAUAC
This 408-nucleotide ribosomal RNA is filed under the name uncultured bacterium. Its description in RNAcentral is "partial 16S ribosomal RNA". It matches the Rfam family "Bacterial small subunit ribosomal RNA", at positions 28 to 526 of the family's 1533-position model. The record is from RNAcentral.